RNAcentral lists this RNase P RNA (347 nucleotides) under uncultured Saccharofermentans sp. Its description in RNAcentral is "Bacterial RNase P class A". It matches the Rfam family "Bacterial RNase P class A". Rfam says of the family: Ribonuclease P (RNase P) is a ubiquitous endoribonuclease, found in archaea, bacteria and eukarya as well as chloroplasts and mitochondria. Its best characterised activity is the generation of mature 5'-ends of tRNAs by cleaving the 5'-leader elements of precursor-tRNAs. Lineage: Bacteria; Bacillati; Bacillota; Clostridia; Eubacteriales; Oscillospiraceae. The record is from RNAcentral.
GACGAUCGCGGGUACCUUAUGCCGAAAGGCGGUAUCCCGAGGAAAGUCCGGGCUCCACAGGACAGGGUGCCGGGUAACGCCCGGUGAAGGCAACUUUAAGGAAAGUGCAACAGAAAAGAAAACCGCCCUUGUGUCCUUCGGGACAUAAGGGUAAGGAUGAAAAGGCGAGGUAAGAGCUCACCGGCGGUAUGGAGACAUACCGGCCUUGUAAACCCCACCCGGAGCAACGUCGUGGAAAGGCUUUAACCGUGGUCCGCGGGCCUUGAGGAGACGGCUUGAGUGCGGUGGCAACACCGUUACCAGACAGAUGAUCGUCAUAAACAGAACCCGGCUUAUCGUCCUGCCCG